RNAcentral lists this ribosomal RNA (582 nucleotides) under uncultured bacterium. RNAcentral describes it as "bacterial SSU rRNA". It matches the Rfam family "Bacterial small subunit ribosomal RNA", at positions 102 to 680 of the family's 1533-position model. The record is from RNAcentral.
ACGGGUGAGUAAUGUCUGGGGAUCUGCCCGAUAGAGGGGGAUAACCACUGGAAACGGUGGCUAAUACCGCAUAACGUCGCAAGACCAAAGAGGGGGACCUUCGGGCCUCUCACUAUCGGAUGAACCCAGAUGGGAUUAGCUAGUAGGCGGGGUAACGGCCCACCUAGGCGACGAUCCCUAGCUGGUCUGAGAGGAUGACCAGCCACACUGGAACUGAGACACGGUCCAGACUCCUACGGGAAGCAGCAGUGGGGAAUAUUGCACAAUGGGCGCAAGCCUGAUGCAGCCAUGCCGCGUGUAUGAAGAAGGCCUUCGGGUUGUAAAGUACUUUCAGCGGGGAGGAAGGCGAUGUGGUUAAUAACCGCAUUGAUUGACGUUACCCGCAGAAGAAGCACCGGCUAACUCCGUGCCAGCAGCCGCGGUAAUACGGAGGGUGCAAGCGUUAAUCGGAAUUACUGGGCGUAAAGCGCACGCAGGCGGUCUGUUAAGUCAGAUGUGAAAUCCCCGGGCUUAACCUGGGAACUGCAUUUGAAACUGGCAGGCUUGAGUCUCGUAGAGGGGGGUAGAAUUCCAGGUGUAGCG